Long non-coding RNA from Silurus meridionalis, 1098 nucleotides. RefSeq lists it as uncharacterized. Lineage: Eukaryota; Metazoa; Chordata; Actinopteri; Siluriformes; Siluridae. The record is from RefSeq and is a predicted model, not a curated record. The transcript is spliced from 3 exons.
CUUUUUGUGUCUCCAGAAUGUGUGUACACCAGUCAAGUGUUUUUUUUUUUUUUUAUAAACACAAUGAACACAAACCUUCGACAUCUCAGCAUGUCACUGCAAUUACUGUCCUCACAAAACGUGGGCCACAAAUCCACCACCCUGAGAUUAAGAGUCUCAUGUCACAUGGGCCUCAUGCAAAACACACGCCAGCUACUGACUGCUGGUUUAGAGCCAAACGUGGUUUAUCCAAACCACCAAAGGAGAUGUUAAUGAAAGAUCUCUGUUGUGCAGUUGGUUAGUGUGUUCUGCUGUUAGCCAGAAUGUUGCUCCUGUUAAAAAGCUCAGGGUUACAAAGGACAGGAACUGCUGCUGUGAUGUUCGAGUGGUGAAGGCGUUAGACUCAAAAUCUAAUGAAGUUUCUGCUCACAGCAUUUCAUCAGUGUGUGAUAGUGAUUUAUUGUUAAGUCUUUACUGUGUGAAGUGAACGAUGUACAGAAGUGUUUCAUGCAUAGAAGAAACGUUGGAAACAAACAUAAUCUGGUUUACUGGAGGUGAAAGUUGUUUUGCUGGGACGAGGAGGAAGAACAUUAAAACUCACAUUAUCUCUUUAGGAAACAUGAUUCAUCUUGUGCUUUCUACAAGAUCAAAAAGGUUCAGAAAAAUCUUUUGAAACAAAAACAUGUUUCAAAUGUCUCAGACAUGUCUAAAACGUCUCAAAAGGCUUUAGGAGACGAUGAGUGGACGUCUCGUCUGUGGCGGUAGAGGAUGAUGAGUGGACGUCUCGUCUGUGGCGGUAGAGGACGAUGAGUGGACGUCUCGUCUGUGGCGGUAGAGGAUGAUGAGUGGACGUCUCGUCUGUGGCGGUAGAGGAUGAUGAGUGGACGUCUCGUCUGUGGUGGUUUGUCAGCACUGGGGUUUGGCUCUGAAGCUGGAAACACACCUGCUCCCGUCAGAAGAAAUAGUUUGAUCUGCUUCAUAAGAGUGAGAAAUGUCCAAUGCAGGUCCACGGCCAGUCAAAACUUUUCAGAAACGUCUUUGUGGAUUCCACCCUCCUAAAGUGUUCAUUUCAGACUUUCAGGUCGUAAGUGUUCCACCUGCUGCAAGUGUUCCACCUGC